GACGAACGCUGGCGGCGUGCUUAACACAUGCCAGUCGAACGGAAAGGCCCUGCUUUUGUGGGGUUCUCGAGUGGCGAACGGGUGAGUAACACGUGAGUAACCUGCCCUUGACUUUGGGAUAACUUCAGGAAACUGGGGCUAAUACCGGAUAGGAGCUCCUGCUGCAUGGUGGGGGUUGGAAAGUUUCGGCGGUUGGGGAUGGACUCGCGGCUUAUCAGCUUGUUGGUGGGGUAGUGGCUUACCAAGGCUUUGAAGGGUAGCCGGCCUGAGAGGGUGACCGGCCACAUUGGGACUGAGAUACGGCCCAGACUCCUACGGGAGGCAGCAGGGGGGAAUAUUGCACAAUGGGCGGAAGCCUGAUGCAGCAACGCCGCGUGCGGGAUGACGGCCUUCGGGUUGUAAACCGCUUUAGCCUGUGACGAAGCGUGAGUGACGGUAAUGGGUAAAGAAGCACCGGCUAACUACGUG
This 468-nucleotide ribosomal RNA is filed under the name uncultured bacterium. RNAcentral's name for it is "partial 16S ribosomal RNA". It matches the Rfam family "Bacterial small subunit ribosomal RNA", at positions 28 to 507 of the family's 1533-position model. The record is from RNAcentral.